GCCGGCCUCCAGGUCCUCCCCACUGCUGCAGCUCCCCGCUCCUCUCCACUUCUGGCCUCCGCAAGUUUCCUUUCCUUUAUUGUGAGCUGGGCCAAGUGUUGAAAAAUCAUGCGUUUGUUUUUCCCAGAAUCUUCUCUUGUUUGUAUGGCGACAGCGCGGAGCCGUGACCGUCCAGAAGAACCAUCCAGAAGAACCAUCCAGGCUGGGAGCCGAGGCCGAAACAGCUAUCAAAUGACAUCUUUGGAGGGUGAGACUGAGAACGCAGCGGAAGCUCCUUCCAUGGGGAUGGCACGGGGGCCUUUAAAAAUGCAAAUGUAUUGUUUUUAAAUAGAAAUUCUUCAUUAAUUUCCACUCCCCCUUGGAAUAAGGCGAAAUACAAUGCAAUAGGCCAAGCCCUCCCUGACAUUCCAAAUUCACACUUCUCAAUCCCCUGGUGACAAGCAGGGGCCAUAGCCACCAUGUGAAACUCCUGGCUUUCUCCCACACAUGUGAAACAACUUCACUUUGUUUUAUUAUUUUGUUUAUUUAUUAUUUAUUUUUAAAUGAGGUGGGUGGUUUAAAAAUCAAACUGUACAUGUCUCAUAAUGAAUAUCAACUGUUCCAAAAUUCACUCUCAAUCCCCCCAAAAAAGUCUCUCUGUGCUUUCACUUUUUCCUAAAUUUACUCCCAUAAUUUAAAAUAAAAUGCUUAUACUUC
Molecule: long non-coding RNA, 696 nt
Organism: Choloepus didactylus (southern two-toed sloth)
Lineage: Eukaryota; Metazoa; Chordata; Mammalia; Pilosa; Megalonychidae
Exons: 2
Source: RefSeq, a predicted model, not a curated record